GACGAACGCUGGCGGCGUGCUUAACACAUGCAAGUCGAACGAUGAAGCCGGAGCUUGCUCUGGUGAAUUAGUGGCGAACGGGUGAGUAACACGUGAGUAACCUGCCCUUGACUCUGGGAUAACUGCGGAAAACUGUAGCUACUACCGGAUACGACCCUCGGAGGCAUCUCCUGGGGGUGGAAAGAAUUUCGGUCAAGGAUGGACUCGCGGCCUAUCAGCUAGUUGGUGAGGUAAAGGCUCACCAAGGCGACGACGGGUAGCCGGCCUGAGAGGGUGACCGGCCACACUGGGACUGAGACACGGCCCAGACUCCUACGGGAGGCAGCAGUGGGGAAUAUUGCACAAUGGGCGCAAGCCUGAUGCAGCAACGCCGCGUGAGGGAUGACGGCCUUCGGGUUGUAAACCUCUUUUAGCAGGGAAGAAGCGAAAGUGACGGUACCUGCAGAAAAAGCACCGGCUAACUACGUGCCAGCCGCCGCAGUAA
This 484-nucleotide ribosomal RNA is filed under the name uncultured bacterium. Its description in RNAcentral is "partial 16S ribosomal RNA". It matches the Rfam family "Bacterial small subunit ribosomal RNA", at positions 28 to 523 of the family's 1533-position model. The record is from RNAcentral.